AGAAUCAACGCUGGCGGCGUGCCUAACACAUGCAAGUCGCACGAGAAAGGGGAUUCGUCCCUGAGUAAAGUGGCGCACGGGUGAGUAACACGUGAAUUAUCUACCUCCGAGUGGGGGAAUAACUGAGAGAAAUCUUAGCUAAUACCGCAUAACACUUACGAGUCAAAGCAGCAAUGCGCUUGGAGAGGAGUUCGCGGCCGAUUAGUUAGUUGGCGGGGUAAUGGCCCACCAAGACGAUGAUCGGUA
This 246-nucleotide ribosomal RNA is filed under the name uncultured bacterium. RNAcentral describes it as "partial small subunit ribosomal RNA". It matches the Rfam family "Bacterial small subunit ribosomal RNA", at positions 26 to 285 of the family's 1533-position model. The record is from RNAcentral.